This 155-nucleotide ribosomal RNA is filed under the name uncultured bacterium. RNAcentral's name for it is "partial 16S ribosomal RNA". It matches the Rfam family "Bacterial small subunit ribosomal RNA", at positions 355 to 507 of the family's 1533-position model. The record is from RNAcentral.
UGAGUAAUAUUGGUCAAUGGGCGAGAGUCUGAACCAGCCAAGUAGCGUGCAGGAUGACGGCCCUAUGGGUUGUAAACUGCUUUUAUGCGGGAAUAAAGUGAGGAACGUGUUCGCUUUUGUAUGUACCGGAUGAAUAAGGACCGGCUAAUUCCGUG